UAGUCCACGCCGUAAACGAUGAGUGCUAGAUAUCGGAAAUUAAACUUUCGGUUUCGUAGCUAACGCAUUAAGCACUCCGCCAGGGGACUACGGUCGCAAGAUUAAAACUCAAAGGAAUUGACGGGGACCCGCACAAGCGGUGGAGCAUGUGGUUUAAUUCGAGGCAACGCGAAGAACCUUACCAGACCUUGACACGCCUCUCGCGGAUUUCAGAGAUGAUUUCCUUCAGUUCGGCUGGAGAGUGCACAGGUGCUGCAUGGCUGUCGUCAGCUCGUGUCGUGAGAUGUUGGGUUAAGUCCCGCAACGAGCGCAACCCUCAUUUUUAGUUACCAUCAUUUAGUUGGGUACUCUAGAGAAACUGCCGGGGUCAACCCGGGAGGAAGGUGGGGAUGACGUCAAGUCUUCAUGGCCCUUAUGGUCUGGGCUACACACGUGCUACAAUGGCAAAUACAAUGAGCAGCGAUCCCGCGAGGGUCAGCUAANCUCCAAAAUUUGACUCAGUUCGGAUCGGACU
This 514-nucleotide ribosomal RNA is filed under the name uncultured bacterium. Its description in RNAcentral is "bacterial SSU rRNA". It matches the Rfam family "Bacterial small subunit ribosomal RNA", at positions 791 to 1304 of the family's 1533-position model. The record is from RNAcentral.